CACCCGGUUGACCCGGUCAUAAUUAAAUAAAAAUAUAAAAUUAUAAAAAUAAAAUUGAAACUUAAAAUGUAUAUGUCUUCAUAAAUAUAUUAAUAACAAUCAACUAUCAAUUCUUAGACAUAACAAAUAAUGCAAGAAAAAUAAUAAUAAACUAGUCAAUAAUACAAAAUACUUUCUCGAUUUAAAAAACAAGAAAAAACUAAAAAUAACACAAUCAAUAAAUCAAAUUCAAGUCGGCAUCUAUAUCUUCAUAAAACAAAUUUAAAGCUUGACCAACAUUUCCUUCAUUUUGAUUUGCAUCUAUAUCUACAUUUGUGUAUCUUUCACAAAUCAAUACCAAAAAUAAUUCAUAAUAAUAGAAACAGAAAGUAUGGGACAACAAUUUAACUGAACAAUUGCACAGAGCAUGAACCUCAUUUUCAACAACAAAUUCAACUAUAAUAAUUUUUAGCAACAAAAGAUUCAUCUCAAGAGAUGAUUUAUAUGUUUACACCAACAAAAAAUCUAGAUAAGUGAUUAUUUCAGCAAGACAACAAUAGAUUCAAUCUUAAGUGAGGAUAAUAAGUAACAAAUCCAACAUGAUUUACCGAUUUACAACAACAAAAAAUUUAACUAAGUGAUUAUUCAGCAAAACAGCACCAAAUUCAAGGUUUAAUAAACUAAGUAAUGAUUUUCGGCAACUAACAAACUUAAUACAAGUGAAGCUAAGUGAUUAUUUUGACAAGUCAAUAACAAAUUCAAGGUUCAUGAUAAUCGCUAACAAAUUUCAGCAACAAAUUACUUUCAACAACAAAAUCAAGUGCAGUGAUGUAGCAACAAAAUUGAAACAGAAAGUACAAGGGGAACUCACCGAAUUGGGUUGCACGAAGGAAGCUGACGGCAAAGGAGAAGCUAAUGGCAAGAGAGAAGCUGACGGCAAGGCUCGAAGCAAA
This is a non-coding RNA of Arachis ipaensis, 932 nucleotides long. NCBI's taxonomy places the organism in Eukaryota, Viridiplantae, Streptophyta, Magnoliopsida, Fabales, Fabaceae. The record is from RefSeq and is a predicted model, not a curated record.